UGAUUCUCCACUACUUAAUGUAUCAAAAUCAAGCUUCAUACAUCGCAAUUACGCCUGGUUUGAUUAGAAUGACAACUUUGUUGUCAUAUUCUCAAAUAGAAAAACUAGGAUCACCUGAUUUGAAAGUGGGAUAGCUUCUUCAUCCUCACUCCUAUGAGAUUUAUUCAACUUCCUUGUGAUUCUCCACUACUUUAUGUAUCAAAGUCAAGCUUCUUACAUCGCGAUUCAUCCUGAUUUGAUUAAAAUGACAAAGAAGUUGUCAUAUUCCCAAAAAAGAAAACUGGGAUCACCUGAUUUGAAAGUGGGAUACCUUCUUCAUCCUAAAUCCUAUGAGAUCUAUUCAACUUCCUGGUGAUUCUCCACUACUUUAUGUAUCAAAAUCAAAAUUCUUACAUCGCGAAUCAUCCAGGUUUGAUUAGUAUGACAAAGAAGUUGUCAUAUUCCCAAACAGGAAAACUGGGAUCACCUGAUUUGAAAGUAGGAUAGCUUUUUUAUGCAAACUCCUAUGAAAUUUAUUCAACUUCCUGAUGAUUCUCCACUACUUUGUGUGUAUCAAAAUCAAACUUCUUAUAUCGCGAUUUAUCCUGGUUUGAUUAAAAAGACAAAGAAAUUGUCUUAUUCCCAAACAGGAAAACUGGGAUCAACUUAUUUGAAAGUGGGAUAGCUUCUUCAUCCUAACUCCUAUGAGAUUUAUUCAACUUUUUGGUGAUUCUCCACUACUUUAUGUAUCAAAAUCAAGCUUUUUACAUCGCGAUUCUUCCUGGCUUGAUUAGAAUGACAACGAAGUUGUCAUAUUCCCAAACAGGAAAACUGUGAUCACCUGAUUUGAAAAUGGGAUAGCUUCUUCAUCCUAACUCCUAUGAGAUUUAUUAAACUUCCUGGUGAUUCUCC
Molecule: long non-coding RNA, 891 nt
Filed under: Brassica napus (rape)
Lineage: Eukaryota; Viridiplantae; Streptophyta; Magnoliopsida; Brassicales; Brassicaceae
Description: long non-coding RNA (BNAP_LNC023939)
Source: RNAcentral